UACGUAGGUGGCAAGCGUUGUCCGGAUUUACUGGGCGUAAAGGGAGCGUAGGCGGACUUUUAAGUGGGAUGUGAAAUACCCGGGCUUAACCUGGGUGCUGCAUUCCAAACUGGGAGUCUAGAGUGCAGGAGGGGAAAGUGGAAUUCCUAGUGUAGCGGUGAAAUGCGUAGAGAUUAGGAAGAACACCGGUGGCGAAGGCGACUUUCUGGACUGUAACUGACGCUGAGGCUCGAAAGCGUGGGGAG
Molecule: ribosomal RNA, 245 nt
Filed under: uncultured bacterium
Lineage: Bacteria
Description: partial 16S ribosomal RNA
Rfam family: Bacterial small subunit ribosomal RNA
Source: RNAcentral